Molecule: non-coding RNA, 955 nt
Organism: Pelobates cultripes (western spadefoot toad)
Lineage: Eukaryota; Metazoa; Chordata; Amphibia; Anura; Pelobatidae
Source: the annotation of a GenBank genome assembly
GGUACACACUACAGCAUUCAAUUCCAACCUAGAACUGAUCACAUUUGCCAUGGUUUCUUGUCAAUCAUCUUUAUGAGAUAGACCUGUCUUUCAACAUAACAUUUUUAAGGUGGAAUAAAAAUUACAAUUGUGCCAGGACUAAACUGGAUUGCUAUACCAAUUGUUAAAUCUUUAAUACAUAGAUUUAAAAGAAAAUUGUGUCAAUCUUACACGUAAUUGUUUUUAAUUAAAUGUCAUUUUUAGAGAAAUUACAGUUCUGCAAUAAAAAUGCUACUAUGACAAAGGAUCACCCCUAAUGUUUAGCAGAUACUUUGGUGCCUGAAAGAAACCAUCCACAGAUAGUAUUUGUGUUAGUCUAUGAGAAGGUAAAGCAGUUUAGUGCUGCAGGUCAUAAAAUUAUGCAUUUUUCCUCAAGAAUCAGGUUGUACAUUUUUUGGGGUCUUUUAUGUAGAUCGGUUUGAGCUCAGAACCAAUAGCCCAGCUAUAUACAAAAGAGAGACCCUCAGGUAAAAAUUAUCUUUCGGUGGAACGUCUACGCUACAUUUUGGAAAGAUGGAAUCAAAGGGUACAGGAAAUGUACUUAUAAAAUGUAGAGAUAAAUGUAAGGGUUCCAGUCAUAAAAAGGAUAUAUAGUUAGAGUUUUGGAGCAGUCUAUUAGGUUUAAGAUGUGAACAGAACUACUGAUCCAUAAUACUGAUACACACACACACACUAGAGCUUAAAAAACACAUUAACUGCAGUCGUUACUGCGACUAUGUCUCAAAGGAAGAGAAUCCAUACAUUUUUCAGUAGAGUACCAGGUGGGGAGGUAUUUACUGUACUUUGAGCAUUAGAUGAAUGUGAAAAGAUGUGGCAUUGUUAAAUAAUCUUCCUCCUUAGUCUUGCCCUUGGCUAGGACUGGUUCGAACAUAGUUUACAAUAAUAAUGAUGCAGUCUCUGGACAGGGUAGAGUCAU